Molecule: ribosomal RNA, 253 nt
Filed under: uncultured bacterium
Lineage: Bacteria
Description: partial 16S ribosomal RNA
Rfam family: Bacterial small subunit ribosomal RNA
Source: RNAcentral
UACAGAGGUCCCAAGCGUUGUUCGGAUUCACUGGGCGUAAAGGGUGCGUAGGCGGUCGGGUAAGUCUGAUGUGAAAUCUCACAGCUUAACUGUGAAACUGCAUUGGAUACUAUCCGGCUCGAGGAAUGGAGGGGAGACUGGAAUACUUGGUGUAGCAGUGAAAUGCGUAGAUAUCAAGUGGAACACCAGUAGCGAAGGCGAGUCUCUGGACAUUUCCUGACGCUGAGGCACGAAAGCGUGGGGAGCAAACAGG